GCGGAAGUAGCUCAGCGGUAGAGCGUCUCCUUGCCAAGGAGAAGGUCGAGGGUUCAAAUCCCUUCUCCCGCUCCA
This 75-nucleotide transfer RNA is filed under the name Planctomyces sp. RNAcentral's name for it is "tRNA-Gly". It matches the Rfam family "tRNA". From Rfam's summary of the family: Transfer RNA (tRNA) molecules are approximately 80 nucleotides in length. Their secondary structure includes four short double-helical elements and three loops (D, anti-codon, and T loops). The record is from RNAcentral. Lineage: Bacteria; Pseudomonadati; Planctomycetota; Planctomycetia; Planctomycetales; Planctomycetaceae.